Molecule: transfer RNA, 77 nt
Filed under: Candidatus Izemoplasmatales bacterium
Lineage: Bacteria; Bacillati; Mycoplasmatota; Mollicutes; Candidatus Izemoplasmatales
Description: tRNA-Arg
Rfam family: tRNA
About the family: Transfer RNA (tRNA) molecules are approximately 80 nucleotides in length.
Source: RNAcentral
GACUCGGUAGCUCAGCUGGAUAGAGCAACGGCCUUCUAAGCCGUCGGUCGCGGGUUCGAAUCCCUUCCGAGUCGCCA